UUCAAUUAGAUGCAUGAAAAUUUAGUAAGAUUUCAUUUGUUUUAACAAUUUAAAAUAUUUUUACAUAUUUCUUUUUAAAUUUGUCUAUCCAAAUAUUCGACGUAUGUUGUGUUUAUGUUUCGUUCACUGUUAGCAAUAUUUCUUAGAAUAAUUCUUAGAAAAUUGAAGGUUUGUGUUUAUGUACGCUCAAUGUCGAUCGAUAUUUAUAUUCCUUCCCAUAUACAUAUAAUCGAAAUUGUGCCGCGAUGAGUCAUUACGUCGUCGAAAUUCGUGCCGAUUAGACGUUUCAAUUCGUAGCAGUUGAUUGCUGAAAUAAUUCAAAGCGGAAAAAAAGAAUAUGGACGUCACAUAAUAACCAUUCGCCAUGAUUAAUUGACGAAGAUAUCUUCUGACGAAGAAUUGAAAAUUUUUGUAACUGCGUAUAAUGCGAUCGGUAGAAUCAGUGUUUGUUUCGUAAUAUCAUUUUCAAUAUUCUUUAGAACAUAAUAAUUUUAAUUAAAUUUAAUCUUUCGUGAAAGUAGAGUCAGUGUUUGUUCGCUAAUUAUAAUUUAAAUAAUAAUAUAAUAUGGCCGUAUUUUUAUUAUUAUUAUUAUUAUUAUAUUAUUAUUUUUUAAAUAUUCGUUUUCGAUAGAAUAGAGUCAAUUAAGGUAAUAAGAUAUCAGACUUAUCGACUGGACGAAAAUGUAUGAAAGUAUUUUCAUUUUAGAUUUCUAGAUGGCGACACAAUUAUGAAUUCGCAAUCGCUAGUAAGAAAGUAUUUAUUUAGAUAAAAAUAUGCACAUAAUGCAAGACUAAAAAGUUGAUUAGGCAAAGGAAUUCG
Apis laboriosa (Himalayan honeybee) is the source of this 820-nucleotide long non-coding RNA. RefSeq lists it as uncharacterized. NCBI's taxonomy places the organism in Eukaryota, Metazoa, Arthropoda, Insecta, Hymenoptera, Apidae. The transcript is spliced from 3 exons. The record is from RefSeq and is a predicted model, not a curated record.